UUUUUUUUUUUGCCAUAGAGCUCAUUGUAGCGAAGCAGCAGCGAGAGCGCAUUAUUGUAACGCGAAAGCACAUUAAAAUAAUCCGCUCGCAUGCAGAUUUCCUUUGCUUUGUCACAAAACCAGACGCGCGUGCUCAGAUACAGGCUGCUCUCGCUCGCUCACUCACAACUCUCUCUAUGCUCAUGCGCUAGAUAUUCAUUCUUUUCGCACCUUUCGAUUUCUAACCGUUUCUGUUCACAUCUUUUACCGCGUGCAGUGUGAAGCUCUGAUCCAUUAACAUGGGCUCGAAAAAAAUACGCAUCAAAGACAGCGUGUGAUCCUGGAGUUAGGCAUAUGCCCAGUCUGUUCUGUUCUCGCGCUCCACUUAGGUGCGCUGCAUUCUGAUUGGAUCGGAUAGCAUACUGCGGGAGGUCGCGGCCGCGGAAAAUCGUGCUAUAAAGCGAUUUAGAAAUCGCACACGCUCAAAUCGUGAUUUUAUUAUGAUUUUAAUUAAUUGCACAGCCCUAAUUGUGUCAUGAAAUGUAGUUUUAAAAGUAUUUCUGUGGCUAUUAAUGUGUUUAAAUGAAAACAAAAAGAGGCAGUGGUGUUUGGUAUCAUAUUUCGUCUUAUUGUAAAUACAGUGAGGAAAAUGGAACACUGCUGUUCCAUUUGCAGAAUUACCGGAUUUGCGUUUUCCUGUUCCCAGGAGUUUACACUCCCGAGUCAAACUCGCGAAUUCCGAACUACUGAGGAUGCAAUCCCAAAUUUCAAGGACCCGUGAGAACCCUAUUUUAUUACAGGGACUCCCAAUGCCACUGGAGCAGCCCGGAGAAAAGAGCCUUGCUGAAGGACACACUGGUGGUGACGACUUCAGAAAUCGAACCAGUGAACUUCUGCUUCCUACCAGUUCCGGGGUUUAGCACACUACACCACAAAAGUAAUGAAGCUACGACAAAAGUUAGCAUGUAAUCGUAAACGUGAAAGAAUGCUGACAAUAUGAAUUUUUAAAUGUUGUAAUUGGUUUAAAUGUUUCAUGGGUAGUCAUGCUCAUGGAGACCAGGCACAUGAAUCUUUGGAGCAGCCAACACCCCCACGUGAUCUCCCAUUCUUGCCUCAAGGUUGUGGGGUUCAGGGGCCGUCGUCAUGGUCAACUCAUCCUCUGGCUCAAUGAUGUCCUCAUUAAGAAGUGCGAGAUUGUGAAGCACAGUGCAGUACGCGAACACCUCAGGCACGAAGGCAGGGCUGAUCUAAGGCCUCAAAGAAAAUAGAGCGUCAGCGUGUCUUCAUUAUCCUGAAAGCUCUCUCAACGAUGUUCUAGGCACUGGAGUGAAUGCUGUUAAAACGAGCCUGCACAGGGUUCUGUACAGAAUCUGUAUGGGGUGAUGAGGCAGAUGGGGCAAGGAUAUCCCACAAAGAUGUCAAUAAAUUUCCCCUGGUGGUCUGUGAUGUCCUGGAGUUGGAUGGAGUGAAACAACUUCCUGCUGAAGUAACAGUGGGAGUCAAUUGCUGGUGGUUUCAUUCGGAUAUGACAGCCGUCUAUUGCACCAACUGCACUGCUGAAAGCUGGUGACCCAGCCACCUGUGCAAAUCCUGCUCUCACUGCCUCCAGAUCAUCUCCGGUCGGAGAGCAAAUCACGCUCCUCAAAAUUCCCAGGACUGCUUUGCUUACUCUGAACACAAUAUCAUGCACAGAGAUCUUAGGUAUAUUAAAGGUCUGUGACACCACCCUGUAGGAUCCUGUACAACACAAGCACCUCGAUGUCCCUUUUCCACCCAGGGUCAGAUUCCUGUCUGACUGCCCCAAUGAGGGACCUGAUGGACGGCAAAGACAGGUGAAUGUGGUCAGCUACUUUAUCCAAAUAAAGCCGCAGAAUUGCCACAGCUCUGUUGAGAUGGCAGUUAGAUGUUGGGUUCACUGUCUUUUAUAUGUGAUAGUUUUUGUUCAUGUUUCCUAUUGUUG
Long non-coding RNA from Cyprinus carpio carpio, 1939 nucleotides. Lineage: Eukaryota; Metazoa; Chordata; Actinopteri; Cypriniformes; Cyprinidae. The record is from Ensembl.